GUCUCCAGUUAUAAAUCAGUAAGUCUUAGUUGCACUCUUGUUUCCAAUCAGAGUCUGAGAGCAAGGUCAUUAGACAGUCUGUAAAUGUUUCUUCCUACAAAUUGGUCCCUGGGAAGCAAAGGAAGCUAAUUUGUUCCUGUCUCCUUGUACAUUUCCCAUUGAAAAUGGCACCUCUGACAAAGCUCAUAGGUUACAUUAUACGUCUAUAUGGGGUUGCAGCAUCUUAUGUGACAGGAACAAAGAUAUUAAAGUCUGCGUUUCCAAAGCCUUUGCCCUUACUUGUCUUCUACCGAAGGUUCAGUAAGUGUGCUGCUUUGCUGAUAAAUGGAUUGGGUGGGUAGGGGAGUCUGAUUGACUAAACAAGAAAUAGCAUGAUGGAAACAGAGGGAGACAGAAGGAGGGGGUGUGUAGGAAGUGAGCAAGUGUUCUGAGAGAACUAGAGAAGAGAGAUUUUAGGAGAAUGUCCGGCUCAUUGAGUGAGACUUCAGCGAAAGAGACAUCUAAAGAAGGUACUAAAGAAAAUUUGGGAUUGAGGUUAACACCCUGGCCUGAAGCACUGACAUCCCAUAUGGCACCGGUUCGAGACCCAGCUGCUCCACUUCCCAUCCAGCUCUCUGCUGUGGCCUGGGAAAGCAGUAGAAGUUGGCCUAAGGACUUGGGCCCCUGCACCUGUGUGGGAGAUCUGGAAGAAGCUCCUGGCUCCUGGCUUUGGAUCCACACGGUUUCGGCCAUUGUAGCCAACUGGGGAGUGAACCAUCAGAUGGAAGACCUCUCUCUUUCUCUCUGCCUCUCCUCUCUCUGUGUAACUUUGACUUUUGAAUAAAUAAUCUUUUUUAAAAAAGGCAAGUACAGUUACUUACAAAAUACUGUAUGUGUCAGGAUAUAAAGGCAAGGAAAAUUCCAUUUUAUAAUGAUCAAUUAAGUUUAUUCCAGAAUCUCCCUCUCCCCAAACAAAAUCUUAAAAGUAUUAAAAAUUAUUUUUCCUUAAAUUGUAUUUAUUGCUUUGAGAGGCAGAGAGACAGCGACAGAGAGAAAGUGCUCCUACUGCUGGUUCUCUCCCCAAAUCCCUGAAAUACAUGGGGCUGGGCCAAGGCCAAAAUUGGGCACCAUUAUGCAAUCCAGGUCUCCCAGCUGGUUGACAGGAACCCAGUCACUUUAGCUGUCAUUGCUGCCACCCAGAUUUAGCUGCAAGCUGCAGUUGGGUGAUGGCACUGGGUAUUAAACCCAGUCAUCUGAUGUGGAAUGCAGGUAUCCUUACCACUAGCUAAACCCCUACUCCCAGAAACUACUUGUUAAAUAAAAUUUAAAUAUAGAAAUACCUUAUAUUUAUA
This 1331-nucleotide long non-coding RNA is filed under the name Oryctolagus cuniculus (rabbit). Its description in RNAcentral is "lncRNA (ENSOCUG00000036716.1)". Lineage: Eukaryota; Metazoa; Chordata; Mammalia; Lagomorpha; Leporidae. The record is from RNAcentral.